GGUCAUAUCAGGUUGAAACACCGGUUCUUAUACAAUCACCGAAGUUAAGCAACGUCAAGCGUGGUCAGUGGUUAGAUGGGUGACCGCUUCGGAAUAGCAAGUGAUGUAAG
Non-coding RNA from Acanthosepion pharaonis, 110 nucleotides. NCBI's taxonomy places the organism in Eukaryota, Metazoa, Mollusca, Cephalopoda, Sepiida, Sepiidae. The record is from the annotation of a GenBank genome assembly.